UGGAUCCAGACUUUGAUCCUGGCUCAGGAUGAACGCUAGCUACAGGCUUAACACAUGCAAGUCGAGGGGAAACGACAUCGAAAGCUUGCUUUUGAUGGGCGUCGACCGGCGCACGGGUGAGUAACGCGUAUCCAACCUGCCCACCACUUGGGGAUAACCUUGCGAAAGUAAGACUAAUACCCAAUGAUAUCUCUAGAAGACAUCUGAAGGAGAUUAAAGAUUUAUCGGUGAUGGAUGGGGAUGCGUCUGAUUAGCUUGUUGGCGGGGUAACGGCCCACCAAGGCGACGAUCAGUAGGGGUUCUGAGAGGAAGGUCCCCCACAUUGGAACUGAGACACGGUCCAAACUCCUACGGGAGGCAGCAGUGAGGAAUAUUGGUCAAUGGACGAGAGUCUGAACCAGCCAAGUAGCGUGCAGGAUGACGGCCCUAUGGGUUGUAAACUGCUUUUAUAAGGGAAUAAAGUGAGUCUCGUGAGACUUUUUGCAUGUACCUUAUGAAUAAGGACCGGCUAAUUCCGUGCCAGCAGCCGCGGUAAUACGGAAGGU
Molecule: ribosomal RNA, 545 nt
Filed under: uncultured organism
Description: bacterial SSU rRNA
Rfam family: Bacterial small subunit ribosomal RNA
Source: RNAcentral